This 124-nucleotide ribosomal RNA is filed under the name Trypanosoma cruzi. RNAcentral describes it as "partial 24S-alpha ribosomal RNA". Lineage: Eukaryota; Euglenozoa; Kinetoplastea; Trypanosomatida; Trypanosomatidae. The record is from RNAcentral.
AAGGGGCGUCGACCCUGUGGGAGUUUUUUUUUUUUUUUACCUCUCUUUCCUUCUCUUCAGCGGGGGGGGUUAUAUAGAGGGUGUAGGAAAAAAAAACCCCCUUACUGUUCGGCCAUUCUGAAAA